GACUAAUUAUCUUUCUCAAAAAUUCCUACAAAAUAAAAAAAAUUGGAUAACUGAAAAAUAAAAUAUUGGGUUGCCUCCCAACAAACGUUAAGUUUAAGGUCUUCAGCUAGACCAAACUAAAGUUCAAUUGUAGACUGGAUCCUGCAAUUCAAUUGAGUCAACUUGCUCACCAUCCCUGAUUUCAUCCCCAUAAUGUUUCAAUCGUUGGUCA
RNAcentral lists this long non-coding RNA (211 nucleotides) under Elaeis guineensis (African oil palm). RNAcentral's name for it is "long non-coding RNA (EGUI_LNC009442)". Lineage: Eukaryota; Viridiplantae; Streptophyta; Magnoliopsida; Arecales; Arecaceae. The record is from RNAcentral.